Molecule: ribosomal RNA, 357 nt
Filed under: uncultured bacterium
Lineage: Bacteria
Description: bacterial SSU rRNA
Rfam family: Bacterial small subunit ribosomal RNA
Source: RNAcentral
AAUGAACGCUGGCGGCGCGCCUAAUACAUGCAAGUCGAGCGAGAAGACGUAGCAAUACGUUUGUAAAGCGGCGAACAGGUGAGGAAUACAUGGGUAACCUACCCUCGAGUGGGGAAUAACUAGCCGAAAGGUUAGCUAAUACCGCGUACGCUCCUUGGACUUCGGUUCAGGGAGGAAAGCGAUACCGUGGGUAUCGCGCUCUUGGUUGGGCUCAUGUCCUAUCAGCUUGUUGGUGAGGUAACGGCUCACCAAGGCUUCGACGGGUAGCUGGUCUGAGAGGACGAUCAGCCACACUGGCACUGCGACACGGGCCAGACUCCUACGGGAGCAGCAGUAAGGAAUAUUGCGCAAUGGGCG